CCCAAGGGUUCGGCUGUUCGCCGAUUAAAGCGGCACGCGAGCUGGGUUCAGAACGUCGUGAGACAGUUUGGUCUCUAUCCUCUGCGCUCGUUGGAAUCCUGAGGAGGCCUGCCCAUAGUACGAGAGGACCUGGGUGGACGGACCUCUGGUAUGCCGGUUGUCGCGCCAGCGGCAUGGCCGGUUGGCUACGUUCGGGAGGGAUAACCGCUGAAAGCAUCUAAGCGGGAAGCCUGCUCCAAGAUUAGGAUUCCUUGACGCUCCUCGGAGCGUUUGUAGCCCGCAUGUUGAACACGUGUUCGAUAGGCCGGAGGUGGAAGUCCCGCGAGGGAUGGAGCCGACCGGUACUAACGGGCGAACGCGGCACACUC
Molecule: ribosomal RNA, 368 nt
Filed under: Bifidobacterium sp.
Lineage: Bacteria; Bacillati; Actinomycetota; Actinomycetes; Bifidobacteriales; Bifidobacteriaceae
Description: partial 23S ribosomal RNA
Rfam family: Bacterial large subunit ribosomal RNA
Source: RNAcentral